CAGCAGUCGCCACGGUAAAACGUAGGUGGCAAGCGUUGUCCGGAAUUAUUGGGCGUAAAGGGCUCGCAGGCGGUUUCUUAAGUCUGAUGUGAAAGCCCCCGGCUCAACCGGGGAGGGUCAUUGGAAACUGGGGAACUUGAGUGCAGAAGAGGAGAGUGGAAUUCCACGUGUAGCGGUGAAAUGCGUAGAGAUGUGGAGGAACACCAGUGGCGAAGGCGACUCUCUGGUCUGUAACUGACGCUGAGGAGCGAAAGCGUGGGGAGCGAACAGGAUUAGAUACCCCGGUAGUCCCUGUCUCUUAUAC
This 304-nucleotide ribosomal RNA is filed under the name uncultured bacterium. Its description in RNAcentral is "partial 16S ribosomal RNA". It matches the Rfam family "Bacterial small subunit ribosomal RNA", at positions 506 to 807 of the family's 1533-position model. The record is from RNAcentral.